CCUACGGUGGGCAGCAGUGGGGAAUAUUGCGCAAUGGGCGAAAGCCUGACGCAGCGACGCCGCGUGAGGGAUGAAGGUCUUCGGAUCGUAAACCUCUGUCAGCAGGGAAGAACGGUCACUGUGCUAAUCAGCAGUGAAUUGACGGUACCUGCAAAGGAAGCACCGGCUAACUCCGUGCCAGCAGCCGCGGUAAUACGGAUGGUGCGAGCGUUAAUCGGAAGUACUGGGCGGAAAGGGGUCGUUGGCGGUAUGUCAAGGCAAGGGUGAAAUCCCCGUGCUCAACGUGGGAACUGCCUUUGAAACUGGAAAACUGGAGGGUGGGAGAGGAUAGUGGAAGUCCGAGUGUAGGGGGGAAAGUCGGAGAAAUCUGGAGGGA
This 376-nucleotide ribosomal RNA is filed under the name uncultured bacterium. RNAcentral's name for it is "partial 16S ribosomal RNA". It matches the Rfam family "Bacterial small subunit ribosomal RNA", at positions 338 to 706 of the family's 1533-position model. The record is from RNAcentral.